CGGCUGCGGCCGCCUCCCUCCCUCCCGACGCCGCUCCUGGGGCGUGCGGGCGGGGAGCGGCCCGUGGGGGCGGGGUUGAGGGGCGCAGUCGCUCCCUCGGACUCCCGGAGUUGGGCCCGGCUCUGUCUUCAGAUCAACCUUUGCAGCAGUAUAUACUAGAGAAAAAGAAAUGGAAACCCACCACACUGGCGUCCAUGGUCAGCUGGGUGGCCACAUGCAGGUGAUCCCAGGACCCAGCUUGUGCCCAGCUGCGACUCCAGACCAGCUGGAGAGAGGCUGCCUUACCUCUGUCCAGGACAUGCUCUCUGUGUGGGGAGGUCAUCCAGCACGGAAACAAGGCGGACUGCUUCCUGCCUUGGUCACACCUCUGCAGCUACGCUGGCAGCGGCCCCGGGGCCCCUCAGGACCUGCGUGAAAGUCCACACAGACCCAACUCGCCCUACUCUGCGACGGGGGACUCACACUCCACUCCGGCAGCAAUAAUGACAGGGACAACCAUUCAGAACUCUCAUAGGCUGUUCUGCUAUGUGCCAGGGAGGUGCUAGGAACUUUGCACGUAUCAUCUCAUUUAAUCAGCGGAGCAGCCCUGUGAGGAGUCCACUCCAGGAUUUGAGGAAGAGGCUGUGAUGGCUGUUCCACAGGCUGGGGGAACCCAGAGGGGCUCCAAGUGUGGGCUCCAGCCACCAGUACCACCAUCACCAUGGGUAGCUGGGCCAGAAUGCAGGUUUCUGGGUCCACUGAGGCCAUAUCCCUGGAGAUGGUGCCCAUGAAUCAUCUGGCAUGUUUCCUUGUGAAGAGCUUCCCCUAACAUCCAGAGGAAGGAGCCUGGGGCAGGGCUGGGGUCACUGUCAGGGGAGCAAAUAUAUUUAAAAAGUGCUGGUGGUUGUAAGAGUCUCCUGAUUUGGCUCUCACAUGUCUUCUCUGCCCAAUUCUCAGCAUGGCCUCACUUGCCCUGUUAACAUCAACUCACCUGUUACCCAGCUGUUCUAAGACACCACCUCUGGAGAAUGUGAUGCGAGGGGUCACACUCCCUGCUUCUCCCCCAAGACAUGUUCUGCUCCCAGACACCUGCUUGCAUAGGACCUAGCAUCUCUCCAGGCCCCUCACCCUUCUCUCUUAUUUCUUCUGGUCUGUGCUGCUGUUCCAUUGUGGGGGAGGCAGGGAGAGUGCUCCUAGAAUGUGCAAAGGCCCAUUCCCCUUGUGAAGUUCAAAUAUGAAAUUUACAUGAAUCAGUUCUCCUUUGAAUUUGAGGCAUUGAUAUUUUGUACCUCAUUAAUAUGUAGAUUGAGCAAAAUUGGAGGCUGUUUGUUUAGCCUCUUGGCUGGCCUUUCCGUCCCUUCUUUCUGGGUUUGUUUAUUUCUUGUCUCUAGCUACUGUUGCAGCUUUCAUUUGUCAGUCUGGUCUGACUUGGGUGAUGCCGGGAGAGGAGGCAAGGCCUGAGUCUGUGCCUCCUGGGGGAUGAAGAGCAGGCUCUAGGGGCAUUGUGGGAAGAAAGCACUAAAUGCUCGUAAAACUCCUUGCUAGCAGCUCAACAGCUAAAAAAAUAAACAACCCAAUUAAAAAAUGGACAAAAGACUUGGUUACGCAAUUCUCCAAGGAAGAUGUACAAGCAGCCGGUAAACACAUGAAAGGAUGCUUACUCAACACCACUAACCAGCAGGGAAAUACAAGUCAAAACCAGAAUGCAAUACCACUCCACACCUAUUAUAGGAUGGCUAUUAUUUUAAAAAAGAAAGAAAAAGGAGAAAACAAGUAUUGAUGAGGAUGUGGAGAGAUUGGAGCCCAUAUGCACUCCUGGUAGAAAUGUAAAAUGGUGCAUUGCUAUGAAAACUGUAUAGCAGUUCUUUAAAAAAUUAAAAUGGAAUUACCAUAUGAACCAGCAAUUUCAUUUCUGGAUAUAUAACAAGAAUUGAAAGCAAGGACUUGAAAAGACACUUGUGCCUCUAUGUUCAUAGCAGCAUUAUUUGCAAUGGUCAAAAGGUAGAACCUGCCCAGAUGUCUAUCAACAGAUGAUUGGAUGAACAAAAUGUGACCU
Manis pentadactyla (Chinese pangolin) is the source of this 2035-nucleotide long non-coding RNA. RefSeq lists it as uncharacterized. NCBI's taxonomy places the organism in Eukaryota, Metazoa, Chordata, Mammalia, Pholidota, Manidae. The record is from RefSeq and is a predicted model, not a curated record. The transcript has 5 exons.